CGCGGCCUAUCAGCUUGUUGGUGGGGUAGUGGCCUACCAAGGCGACGACGGGUAGCCGGCCUGAGAGGGUGACCGGCCACACUGGGACUGAGACACGGCCCAGACUCCUACGGGAGGCAGCAGUGGGGAAUAUUGCGCAAUGGGCGAAAGCCUGACGCAGCGACGCCGCGUGGGGGAUGACGGCCUUCGGGUUGUAAACCUCUUUCAGCAGGGACGAAGCGGAAGUGACGGUACCUGCAGAAGAAGCACCGGCCAACUACGUGCCAGCAGCCGCGGUAAUACGUAGGGUGCAAGCGUUGUCCGGAAUUAUUGGGCGUAAAGAGCUCGUAGGCGGUUUGUUGCGUCGGCUGUGAAAUCCCGAGGCUCAACCUCGGGUCUGCAGUCGAUACGAGCAAACUAGAGUGUUGCAGGGGAGACUGGAAUUCCUGGUGUAGCGGUGAAAUGCGCAGAUAUCAGGAGGAACACCGGUGGCGAAGGCGGGUCUCUGGGCAACAACUGACGCUGAGGAGCGAAAGCGUGGGGAGCGAACAGGAUUAGAUACCCUGGUAGUCCACGCCGUAAACGUUGGGCGCUAGGUGUGGGGCUCAUUCCACGAGUUCCGUGCCGCAGCUAACGCAUUAAGCGCCCCGCCUGGGGAGUACGG
RNAcentral lists this ribosomal RNA (643 nucleotides) under uncultured Actinomycetes bacterium. Its description in RNAcentral is "bacterial SSU rRNA". It matches the Rfam family "Bacterial small subunit ribosomal RNA", at positions 232 to 885 of the family's 1533-position model. The record is from RNAcentral. Lineage: Bacteria; Bacillati; Actinomycetota; Actinomycetes.